GAGUGUUACAAUAUCUAUGAAUCCUCUGAUAUUUCUUUCCAACAAUAAAUAAUCCGAAGAUCUUUAAGCUUGAUUUUGAAUUUGGAUUUGAAUAUGAUUUGCUCAUCAUGAUCGCCUUGAUGGUCGCCAUGAAGAGUAAUUUUGUCACGAACAAGUAGCCUUGAUCUCAACGCCUUGUAUUUGAUUUAAUUUUGUUCUUGAUAUUGAAUACUUGAAACUUGCAUUGAAGUGCUUGAAUACUUGCCGUUUCUUGGAAAAUUAUGGCCUUUAAUUCACGAGCUCCCUUGUAUCCUGUUAUUAGUCCUUCG
Molecule: long non-coding RNA, 308 nt
Filed under: Nicotiana benthamiana
Lineage: Eukaryota; Viridiplantae; Streptophyta; Magnoliopsida; Solanales; Solanaceae
Description: long non-coding RNA (NBEN_LNC007117)
Source: RNAcentral